Molecule: ribosomal RNA, 464 nt
Filed under: uncultured bacterium
Lineage: Bacteria
Description: partial 16S ribosomal RNA
Rfam family: Bacterial small subunit ribosomal RNA
Source: RNAcentral
GACGAACGCUGGCGGCGUGCUUAACACAUGCAAGUCGAACGGACAGGCCCUGCUUGCGGGGUACUCGAGUGGCCAACGGGUGAGUAACACAUGGGUGAUUUGCCCUGCACUUCGGGUUAAGCCUGGGCAACUGGGUCUAACACCGGCCAGGAGCUAUUUUUAGUGUGAUGGUUGGAAAGUUUUUUCGGUGUUGGAUGGGUGCGAGGCCUAUCAGCUUGUUGGUUGGGUAAUGUCCUACCAAGGCGGCGACGGGUAGCCGGCCUGCGUGGGUGGACGGCCACAAUGGGACUGAGAGACGGCCCAGACUCCUACGGGAGGCAGCGGGGGGGAGUAUGGCACAGUGGGGGCAAGCCUGAGGCGGCGGCGCCGGGUGCGGGAUGACGGCCUUCGGGUUGUAAACUCCUUUCGCUGGAGACGAAGCUUUUGUGACGGUACCUAGAUAAGAAGCACCGGCUAACUACGUG